CUCUGGGAUAGCUCAGUUGGUAGAACAUGAGACUCUUAAUCUCAGGGUCAUGAGUCUGAGUCCUGAGUUGGGGA
Molecule: transfer RNA, 74 nt
Filed under: Podarcis lilfordi (Lilford's wall lizard)
Lineage: Eukaryota; Metazoa; Chordata; Lepidosauria; Squamata; Lacertidae
Description: tRNA.Lys
Source: RNAcentral